This 393-nucleotide ribosomal RNA is filed under the name uncultured bacterium. Its description in RNAcentral is "partial 16S ribosomal RNA". It matches the Rfam family "Bacterial small subunit ribosomal RNA", at positions 523 to 918 of the family's 1533-position model. The record is from RNAcentral.
AUACGGAGGAUCCGAGCGUUAUCCGGAUUUAUUGGGUUUAAAGGGAGCGUAGGUGGAUUGUUAAGUCAGUUGUGAAAGUUUGCGGCUCAACCGUAAAAUUGCAGUUGAAACUGGCAGUCUUGAGUACAGUAGAGGUGGGCGGAAUUCGUGGUGUAGCGGUGAAAUGCUUAGAUAUCACGAAGAACUCCGAUUGCGAAGGCUGCUCACUAGACUGUUACUGACACUGAUGCUCGAAAGUGUGGGUAUCGAACAGGAUUAGAUACCCUGGUAGUCCACACAGUAAACGAUGAAUACUCGCUGUUUGCGAUAUACAGUAAGCGGCCAAGCGAAAGCAUUAAGUAUUCCACCUGGGGAGUACGCCGGCAACGGUGAAACUCAAAGGAAUUGACGGGG